CUACGUGCCAGCAGCCGCGGUAAUACGUAGGUCCCGAGCGUUGUCCGGAUUUAUUGGGCGUAAAGCGAGCGCAGGCGGUUUGAUAAGUCUGAAGUUAAAGGCUGUGGCUCAACCAUAGUUCGCUUUGGAAACUGUCAAACUUGAGUGCAGAAGGGGAGAGUGGAAUUCCAUGUGUAGCGGUGAAAUGCGUAGAUAUAUGGAGGAACACCGGUGGCGAAAGCGGCUCUCUGGCUUGUAACUGACGCUGAGGCUCGAAAGCGUGGGGAGCAAACAGGAUUAGAUACCCUGGUAGUCCACGCCGUAAACGAUGAGUGCUAGGUGUUAGACCCUUUCCGGGGUUYAGUGCCGCAGCUAACGCAUUAAGCACUCCGCCUGGGGAGUACGACCGCAAGGUUGAAACUCAAAGGAAUUGACGGGGGCCCGCACAAGCGGUGGAGCAUGUGGUUUAAUUCG
This 453-nucleotide ribosomal RNA is filed under the name uncultured bacterium. RNAcentral's name for it is "bacterial SSU rRNA". It matches the Rfam family "Bacterial small subunit ribosomal RNA", at positions 501 to 953 of the family's 1533-position model. The record is from RNAcentral.